CCUACGGGUGGCAGCAGUGGGGAAUAUUGCACAAUGGUCGAAACCCUGAUGCAGCGACGCCGCGUGAGCGAUGAAGUAUUUCGGUAUGUAAAGCCCUAUUAGCAGGGAAGAAAAUGACGGUACCUGACUAAGAAGCCCCGGCUAAAUACGUGCCAGCAGCCGCGGGAAGACGUAGGGGGCAAGCGUUAUCCGGAUUUAGUGGGUGUAAAGGGGGCGUAGACGGCGGUGCAAGCCAGAUGUGAAAGCCCGGGGCUCAACCCCGGGACUGCAUUUGGAACUGUGCUGCUAGAGUGGGGGAGAGGCAGGCGGAAUGCCCGGUGUAGCGGUGAAAUGCGUAGAUAUUAGGAGGAACACCAGUGGCGAAGGCGGCCUGCUGGACGAUGACUGACGUUGAGGCUCGAAAGCGUGGGGAGCGAACAGGAUUAGAUACCCGUGUAGUC
Molecule: ribosomal RNA, 440 nt
Filed under: uncultured bacterium
Lineage: Bacteria
Description: partial 16S ribosomal RNA
Rfam family: Bacterial small subunit ribosomal RNA
Source: RNAcentral